UUUCCGUAGGUGAACCUGCGGAAGGAUCAUUAUUGAAUAAACUUGAUGGGUUGUUGCUGGCCUCUUGAGGCAUGUGCACACCUGUCUUGACUUUACUCAUCCACCUGUGCACUUGUUGUAGUCCUUUACUCUAUGUCCUUUUGUCAUAUACCAUGUAGUAUGUUGYCAGAAUGUAUUUGGUGGGCCYUUUUGGUCAGCUCCUCUGAAAUACAUUAGUGGAACGGUUUGUGAUCUGCUGCAGGUGUGAUAAUUAAUCUAUGCCGAGUGGGUGACUCUCUGUUGUGUUCUGCUGCCAACUGUCUGUGAAGACAACUAGUUACUGAAUAUUUGACCUCAAAUCAGGUAGGAUUACCCGCUGAACUUAA
This 365-nucleotide ribosomal RNA is filed under the name Cyphomyrmex wheeleri fungal symbiont NJM-2012. Its description in RNAcentral is "eukaryotic LSU rRNA". Lineage: Eukaryota; Fungi; Basidiomycota; Agaricomycetes; Agaricales; Agaricaceae. The record is from RNAcentral.